RNAcentral lists this long non-coding RNA (624 nucleotides) under Manihot esculenta (cassava). RNAcentral describes it as "long non-coding RNA (MESC_LNC005286)". The record is from RNAcentral. Lineage: Eukaryota; Viridiplantae; Streptophyta; Magnoliopsida; Malpighiales; Euphorbiaceae.
UCUUCCUUCUUAGUUAUCUGGUGUCUAAUACUAACACCACAUAUGGCGGUGUAUGAGACUUCUAGGCUAUGGUCAAUACUCCCUUUCAAAUAUAGAUUGUUAGAUGAUUUUCUUCUAGGCUAUGGUCAAUACUCCCUUUCAAAUAUAGAUUGUUAGAUGAUUUUCUUCUAGGCUAUGGUCAAUACUCCCUUUCAAAUAUAGAUUGUUAGAUGAUUUUCCUCUGUGCCAUUUUGUCAGGAGGCAGAAGAAACGAUUGAACAUGAUCUGCUCUAGUUCUCUCAUUUUAGACUCACUUGGUUUUUCUAUCCAUGCACCUAUAAACCAAAUGAUAUUGGCUCCGCUUUCAUUACCCAAUGGUGGUCGCAAGUUCAAAUAGCUUUUAGAAAUCAAAAAGGCCUUCUUAGUUUGGUGGUUACCAUAUGCUGGUUUAUUUGGAAGCAAAAAAACAAAGGAGUUUUUCAAGGCAUGCUGCCAGAUCCAAUUGAAGCAAUCAAAAGGUCCGCAAAGACACCGUAUUGACAUGGAGCAAGCAAGGAAAGAUUAAAAUUUAAUUGUGAUAGUUGCAAAAAAGGAGGGUCAAUCUAAUGCUAGAAUUGCUAUAGGAUGGCUUAGCUAAGAAUAUCA